RNAcentral lists this microRNA precursor (98 nucleotides) under Camelus bactrianus (Bactrian camel). RNAcentral's name for it is "mir-544 microRNA precursor family". It matches the Rfam family "mir-544 microRNA precursor family". RNAcentral also lists the same sequence under 2 other names. Lineage: Eukaryota; Metazoa; Chordata; Mammalia; Artiodactyla; Camelidae. The record is from Rfam by way of RNAcentral.
AUCACCUGGGGAUCUUGCUAAUAUGCAGAUUCUGAUUCAGCAGUUCUGGGACAGGGACAAAGAGUUUGCAUUUUUAACAAGUUCCCAGGUGACGUUGC